Molecule: ribosomal RNA, 810 nt
Filed under: uncultured fungus
Lineage: Eukaryota; Fungi
Description: SSU rRNA
Rfam family: Eukaryotic small subunit ribosomal RNA
Source: RNAcentral
GUGCCAGCAGCCGCGGUAAUUCCAGCUCCAAUAGCGUAUAUUAAAGUUGUUGUGGUUAAAAAGCUCGUAGUUGAACCUUGGGCCUGGCUGGCCGGUCCGCCUCACCGCGUGCACUGGUCCGGCCGGGCCUUUCCCUCUGUGGAACCCCAUACCCUUCACUGGGCGUGGCGGGGAAACAGGACAUUUACUUUGAAAAAAUUAGAGUGCUCCAGGCAGGCCUAUGCUCGAAUACAUUAGCAUGGAAUAAUAAAAUAGGACGCGCGGUUCUAUUUUGUUGGUUUAUAGGACCGCCGUAAUGAUUAAUAGGGACAGUCGGGGGCAUCAGUAUUCAACUGUCAGAGGUGAAAUUCUUGGAUCAGUUGAAGACUAACUACUGCGAAAGCAUUUGCCAAGGAUGUUUUCAUUAAUCAGGAACGAAAGUUAGGGGAUCGAAGACGAUCAGAUACCGUCGUAGUCUUAACCAUAAACUAUGCCGACUAGGGAUCGGACGGUGUUAUUCAUGACCCGUUCGGCACCUUACGAGAAAUCAAGGUGCUUGGGCUCCAGGGGGAGUAUGGUCGCAAGGCUGAAACUUAAAGAAAUUGACGGAAGGGCACCACCAGGGGUGGAGCCUGCGGCUUAAUUUGACUCAACACGGGGAAACUCACCAGGUCCAGACACAAUAAGGAUUGACAGAUUGAGAGCUCUUUCUUGAUUUUGUGGGUGGUGAUGCAUGGCCGUUCUUAGUUGGUGGGGUGACUUGUCUGCUUAAUUGCGAUAACGAACGAGACCUUAACCUGCUAAAUAGCCCGCAUUGCUCCGGCAGUGCGC